GUUGGGUAGGGGAGCGUUCUGUAAGCCUGUGAAGGUGUGUCGUGAGGCAUGCUGGAGGUAUCAGAAGUGCGAAUGCUGACAUAAGUAACGAUAAAGCGGGUGAAAAGCCCGCUCGCCGGAAGACCAAGGGUUCCUGUCCAACGUUAAUCGGGGCAGGGUGAGUCGACCCCUAAGGCGAGGCCGAAAGGCGUAGUCGAUGGGAAACAGGUUAAUAUUCCUGUACUUGGUGUUACUGCGAAGGGGGGACGGAGAAGGCUAUGUUGGCCGGGCGACGGUUGUCCCGGUUUAAGCGUGUAGGUGUGUGUUCCAGGUAAAUCCGGUUCACUUUAACACUGAGGCGUGAUGACGAGGCACUACGGUGCUGAAGCAACAAAUGCCCUGCUUCCAGGAAAAGCCUCUAAGCAUCAGGUAACAUCAAAUCGUACCCCAAACCGACACAGGUGGUCAGGUAGAGAAUACCAAGGCGCUUGAGAGAACUCGGGUGAAGGAACUAGGCAAAAUGGUGCCGUAACUUCGGGAGAAGGCACGCUGACACGUAGGUGAAGUGAUUUACUCAUGGAGCUGAAGUCAGUCGAAGAUACCAGCUGGCUGCAACUGUUUAUUAAAAACACAGCACUGUGCAAACACGAAAGUGGACGUAUACGGUGUGACGCCUGCCCGGUGCCGGAAGGUUAAUUGAUGGGGUCAGCGCAAGCGAAGCUCCUGAUCGAAGCCCCGGUAAACGGCGGCCGUAACUAUAACGGUCCUAAGGUAGCGAAAUUCCUUGUCGGGUAAGUUCCGACCUGCACGAAUGGCGUAAUGAUGGCCAGGCUGUCUCCACCCGAGACUCAGUGAAAUUGAACUCGCUGUGAAGAUGCAGUGUACCCGCGGCAAGACGGAAAGACCCCGUGAACCUUUACUAUAGCUUGACACUGAACAUUGAGCCUUGAUGUGUAGGAUAGGUGGGAGGCUUUGAAGCGUGGACGCCAGUCUGCGUGGAGCCGACCUUGAAAUACCACCCUUUAAUGUUUGAUGUUCUAACGUGGACCCGUAAUCCGGGUUGCGGACAGUGUCUGGUGGGUAGUUUGACUGGGGCGGUCUCCUCCUAAAGAGUAACGGAGGAGCACGAAGGUUGGCUAAUCCUGGUCGGACAUCAGGAGGUUAGUGCAAUGGCAUAAGCCAGCUUGACUGCGAGCGUGACGGCGCGAGCAGGUGCGAAAGCAGGUCAUAGUGAUCCGGUGGUUCUGAAUGGAAGGGCCAUCGCUCAACGGAUAAAAGGUACUCCGGGGAUAACAGGCUGAUACCGCCCAAGAGUUCAUAUCGACGGCGGUGUUUGGCACCUCGAUGUCGGCUCAUCACAUCCUGGGGCUGAAGUAGGUCCCAAGGGUAUGGCUGUUCGCCAUUUAAAGUGGUACGCGAGCUGGGUUUAGAACGUCGUGAGACAGUUCGGUCCCUAUCUGCCGUGGGCGCUGGAGAACUGAGGGGGGCUGCUCCUAGUACGAGAGGACCGGAGUGGACGCAUCACUGGUGUUCGGGUUGUCAUGCCAAUGGCACUGCCCGGUAGCUAAAUGCGGAAGAGAUAAGUGCUGAAAGCAUCUAAGCACGAAACUUGCCCCGAGAUGAGUUCU
This 1607-nucleotide ribosomal RNA is filed under the name Salmonella enterica subsp. enterica serovar Newport. RNAcentral's name for it is "bacterial LSU rRNA". It matches the Rfam family "Bacterial large subunit ribosomal RNA", at positions 1223 to 2812 of the family's 2925-position model. Lineage: Bacteria; Pseudomonadati; Pseudomonadota; Gammaproteobacteria; Enterobacterales; Enterobacteriaceae. The record is from RNAcentral.